AAGUUUGCACAGUGCAGCAUCUUGGCCAAUGAGGUUAACCUGAGGCAAAAUUAUUGCUAAUUAAAAAUUAUCUUCUUUCCCAUAAACUUUAUAUGUAUAUUUGAGUUAUAAAAUAUAGUAUGUUGU
Molecule: small nuclear RNA, 126 nt
Filed under: Fukomys damarensis (Damara mole-rat)
Lineage: Eukaryota; Metazoa; Chordata; Mammalia; Rodentia; Bathyergidae
Description: U4 spliceosomal RNA
Rfam family: U4 spliceosomal RNA
About the family: U4 small nuclear RNA (U4 snRNA) is a component of the major U2-dependent spliceosome.
Source: Rfam by way of RNAcentral